Molecule: non-coding RNA, 23 nt
Filed under: Arabidopsis thaliana (thale cress)
Lineage: Eukaryota; Viridiplantae; Streptophyta; Magnoliopsida; Brassicales; Brassicaceae
Source: RNAcentral
UGUAACACCCCCGAACCGUCCUA